CCUCGUACUCACAACGGUAGAGGAUGCAGUCAUUAGGGCAUGCAUGUAUCUUCUGCACCUCCAAUCCUAGAGGAUAGAGAACCUUCUUUGCUUCGUACGUACUGUCAGACAAUUCGUUAUCCUUUGAAAGCUUCGUCUUCAUUAUUUUCAGUAGCUUCCCAAAUCCCUUGUCAGAUAGACCAUUCUCUGCCUUCCAUUGCAGCAAUUCCAGGGCCGUACUGAGCUUUGUGUUGUCAUCUUCGCAAUUUGGGUACAACCCUUUUUUGUGAUCCUCUAACU
This 279-nucleotide long non-coding RNA is filed under the name Hordeum vulgare. Its description in RNAcentral is "long non-coding RNA (HVUL_LNC009338)". The record is from RNAcentral. Lineage: Eukaryota; Viridiplantae; Streptophyta; Magnoliopsida; Poales; Poaceae.